GAUGAAGAACGUAGCGAAAUGCGAUAAGUAAUGUGAAUUGCAGAAUUCAGUGAAUCAUCGAAUCUUUGAACGCACAUUGCGCCCUCUGGUAUUCCGGGAGGCAUGCCUGUUCGAGCGUCAUUAUAACCACUCAAGCUCUCGCUUGGUAUUGGGGUUCGCGGUUUCGCGGCCCCUAAAAUCAGUGGCGGUGCCUGUCGGCUCUACGCGUAGUAAUACUUCUCGCGAUUGAGUUCGAUAGGUCUACUUGCCAGUAACCCCCAAUUUUUACAGGUUGACCUCGGAUCAGGUAGGGAUACCCGCUGAACUUAAGCAUAUCAAUAAGCGGAGGA
RNAcentral lists this unclassified non-coding RNA (329 nucleotides) under soil metagenome. RNAcentral's name for it is "partial contains 5.8S ribosomal RNA, internal transcribed spacer 2, and large subunit ribosomal RNA". The stretch from base 1 to 120 matches the Rfam family "5.8S ribosomal RNA", at positions 35 to 154 of the family's 154-position model. The record is from RNAcentral.